This is a long non-coding RNA of Astatotilapia calliptera (eastern happy), 1614 nucleotides long. NCBI's taxonomy places the organism in Eukaryota, Metazoa, Chordata, Actinopteri, Cichliformes, Cichlidae. The record is from Ensembl.
AGUGAAUAGAAGAAGCUUUAGAACCAUUAGAGGCAGGAAGUGAAACACUGGAGGCUGACGAUGAGAAUACAGAACUAUUAUCUGGCCAAAUCAACUCCUCCGCUGUUCCCUGCAUUUCAGAUUGAGCAUUUUGUACUACAGUCUUUGUGAUCGAGAUGCAGUUAUCCAUCUUGCGACGCAUGUCAUGGGCUGGUUGAUCAAUUCUUCUGUAAUCAUCAUAAGCAAUGUUCAACUCAGAUAAUUCCCUUUGAAUACUGGUGAUGUGCUCUUGUAGGAUGUCACUAGGAUCCUGUUUUAAUACAGAUCUUUUAGCUACCUUAAUCAGAGCUUUCCAUCGUUCAUAUUUGCUGUCAAAGCGAAGCAAUAGCCCUUUGAUUUGCUCUUUCUGAAACUCUUUUCCUUUUUCUGUUAAUGUUCGGGCUCUUUCACUUCUACGAGGCUCUUCAGGUGGUGCUAUAUUUUGCCCGAUAUUUGAUUCACCUGUCUGUUCUAACUCAGUCUCUUCUUCCGGAGCAGCUACUGCACCCUGAGCUUCUUUACUUGUAUGUGACAUUUUGAUUAUUUAGACACAGAUAUACACAGGCAGCAUAGAAGAGCAAGCUGCAACAACAUUUGUGAAUACUGAAAGAAUGAGCUUAACUAAAUGAAGUCACUCUCAUUCAAAUUAGCCCAUACAUGUAGAAUAUUACAGAGUAAGUACACUUAACAGAGUUCUUAAAAGACACUGAACCAUAAAUACAAACUGAAUUUCUGUCAAAAUGUACAAAGUUUACUUCUGCCCUUUCAGAGCCAACUAUAAUUAUUCAGCUGAACAUGAAUUUACAUCUCUUACGUAAAUGCACAUUCAUAUACGUGAAACAGCGUGGCUGCCAGGCUAUACACAGUUCCUUUUAGUUUCCAACUCUUGUGUUACUUUUCAGACCAAAAACUUUAGAGUCUGGCUUAUAGACUUCUUCAUGAAAACCUUAUGAACCUGUGUGUCCUAAACAGUGGCUUAUCUGUGUUCCCGUCAUGAUGAGCUGUCGAAUUUGCGCUGAUAGGGCGAGUCUGGGCAGGUCCGAGUUUGACUAUCACUCCCUCCAGUUAAUACACGACACCACGGUUCUUCAUUCACAGAUGGAUUUAUUCUUCUGUCACACGGCCUCUUUCUUACUCAUGAUCCUGUUCGUCUCUAUACAUGCACACAGCUUUUAUGAAGAGUAUUCCAUAUAUCUGUUUUAGCUUGAAAGUAUAGAUUUCUGUCGUGCUGCACUUCAUGCAUUUUUAAAACGCCUGCAGGCAAAGUUCAGUUAGUCAUUUGAACCACAUACUUGUUCUUCAUGAAAGGAUUUACUAUUGCGCUGUUAUUCAUACAUAGAAAUAUUUCUUGCUCCAUUUGCAGCAGUUCAAGGGGUUUAAUAAAUUUAUCUCUGAUAUAACUGAACCUCUGAAAAUGAGCGACUAUAUAUCAAAAUUGCUGUACUUCCUAAUUAGUUAAUGCAAUAUGUUUUGUUAAACUCCUUUAAUUCAACAUGAAAGACUUCAGUCAAAUCUUGAUUGUUUUAUCUAAAACCUACUGUGCUGGUGCACAGUGGUAAUAUGACAAAAAUUGUGUCAUUGUCCAAAUACUUACCC